RNAcentral lists this ribosomal RNA (253 nucleotides) under uncultured bacterium. Its description in RNAcentral is "partial 16S ribosomal RNA". It matches the Rfam family "Bacterial small subunit ribosomal RNA", at positions 524 to 776 of the family's 1533-position model. The record is from RNAcentral.
UACGUAGGGGGCAAGCGUUGUCCGGAUUUAUUGGGCGUAAAGAGCGUGUAGGCGGCUGGGUAGGUCCGUUGUGAAAACUCGAGGCUCAACCUCGAGACGCCGAUGGAAACCCUCCAGCUAGAGUCCGGAAGAGGAGAGUGGAAUUCCUGGUGUAGCAGUGAAAUGCGCAGAUAUCAGGAAGAACACCCGUGGCUAAGGCGGCUCUCUAGUACGGUACUGACGCUGAGACGCGAAAGCGUGGGGAGCGAAUAGG